RNAcentral lists this ribosomal RNA (1492 nucleotides) under uncultured bacterium. RNAcentral's name for it is "16S ribosomal RNA". It matches the Rfam family "Bacterial small subunit ribosomal RNA". The record is from RNAcentral.
AGAGUUUGAUCAUGGCUCAGAUUGAACGCUGGCGGAAUGCUUUACACAUGCAAGUCGAACGGCAGCACAGGAGAGCUUGCUCUCUGGGUGGCGAGUGGCGGACGGGUGAGGAAUACAUCGGAAUCUACCUUUUCGUGGGGGAUAACGUAGGGAAACUUACGCUAAUACCGCAUACGACCUACGGGUGAAAGUGGGGGACCGCAAGGCCUCACGCGAUUAGAUGAGCCGAUGUCCGAUUAGCUAGUUGGCGGGGUAAUGGCCUACCAAGGCGACGAUCAGUAGCGGGUCUGAGAGGAUGAUCCGCCACACUGGGACUGAGACACGGCCCAGACUCCUACGGGAGGCAGCAGUGGGGAAUUUUGGACAAUGGGGGCAACCCUGAUCCAGCCAUUCCGCGUGAGUGAAGAAGGCCUUCGGGUUGUAAAGCUCUUUCAGCUGGAGUGAAACGGUGCGCUCUAACAUAGCGUGCUAAUGACGGUACCAGCAGAAGAAGCACCGGCUAACUACGUGCCAGCAGCCGCGGUAAUACGUAGGGUGCGAGCGUUAAUCGGAAUUACUGGGCGUAAAGCGUGCGCAGGCGGAUUGUUAAGCAAGAUGUGAAAUCCCCGGGCUUAACCUGGGAAUGGCAUUUUGAACUGGCAGUCUAGAGUGCGUCAGAGGGGGGUGGAAUUCCACGUGUAGCAGUGAAAAUGCGUAGAGAUGUGGAGGAACACCGAUGGCGAAGGCAGCCCCCUGGGAUGACACUGACGCUCAUGUACGAAAGCGUGGGUAGCAAACAGGAUUAGAUACCCUGGUAGUCCACGCCCUAAACGAUGUCAACUGGUUGUUGGGGGAGUGAAAUCCCUUAGUAACGAAGCUAACGCGUGAAGUUGACCGCCUGGGGAGUACGGUCGCAAGAUUAAAACUCAAAGGAAUUGACGGGGACCCGCACAAGCGGUGGAUGAUGUGGAUUAAUUCGAUGCAACGCGAAAAACCUUACCUACCCUUGACAUGUCCAGAACCCUGAAGAGAUUUGGGGGUGCCCGAAAGGGAAUUGGAACACAGGUGCUGCAUGGCUGUCGUCAGCUCGUGUCGUGAGAUGUUGGGUUAAGUCCCGCAACGAGCGCAACCCUUAUCAUUAGUUGCUACGCAAGGGCACUCUAAUGAGACUGCCGGUGACAAACCGGAGGAAGGUGGGGAUGACGUCAAGUCCUCAUGGCCCUUAUGGGUAGGGCCUCACACGUCAUACAAUGGUCGGUACAGAGGGUUGCCAAGCCGCGAGGUGGAGCCAAUCCCAGAAAGCCGAUCGUAGUCCGGAUUGUUCUCUGCAACUCGAGAGCAUGAAGUCGGAAUCGCUAGUAAUCGCGGAUCAGCAUGUCGCGGUGAAUACGUUCCCGGGUCUUGUACACACCGCCCGUCACACCAUGGGAGUGGAAUCUGCCAGAAGUAGGUAGCCUAACCGCAAGGGGGGCGCUUACCACGGUGGGUUUCAUGANCUGGGGUGAAGUCGUAA